Non-coding RNA from Nicotiana tabacum (common tobacco), 1546 nucleotides. The record is from RefSeq and is a predicted model, not a curated record. NCBI's taxonomy places the organism in Eukaryota, Viridiplantae, Streptophyta, Magnoliopsida, Solanales, Solanaceae.
UCUAGCAAUAGUUCAAAAGCUCCACUGUUGCAAAUUCCCUGAUCAUAUCUUUGCACUUUCGCGAAUUUUCCUCUUUGGAUCAUUGUUUCUUUUAUACACAUUAUAGCACAACAACCUCCAUAUGAAGGACUAAGUACUCUUGCUACUCCUAUUAGUAAGAUGCACAGAGUGUACUUACAAAAUAAAAUGAAAAAGUACAAUAAGUGUUAAUGUAAAUGUCCAAGCUGUUCAAAUCAUUUGACACCAUUGCAAUUGGACACUUUGCUUACUGAAGGAAAUACAUCACGAUUUUGGCCGGUUGGUUCUGUGGAAGAUUUUGGUCACUAUUUUCUACUUAGUAUUUUGACCCUCUGAAGGUAAAAAAAAACAUACAUAUUUUUAUCUUGAUAAUUGUGAAUGCUUAGGGGAUUUGGUGCCUGUAAUCCUAGAGUAGUUGAGCAAAUAAACUUUUAGUAUUCUUGGCUCUGUAAUGUUGUCAGCACUAUGUUAUUAACUUUAUUCCUGUGGUGCCUAAUUGUUCUCUACUAAUUCAUACUCUCCCUUUUCUUCCACUUAUCUAUUUCUUUUUAGUUUCCACAUUCUUCUAUUUAUCUAUUACAGAGGCAAGCUAGCAAAUUUAGUUAAAAUUCUUUCAAAAUUACAGUAAAUAAAUGAGUAGAUGAUGCUGUAUUUCUUGGUGUAUUAUUGUUUACUCUAUCGUCACAUGUGUUAUAUGAGCUGGAUUUAAUGGUAUUGUGGUGUUGAAGUCACUUGAAGCGCAGCUUGAACCAAUUUCCAGUGCAUCUGUUAUCUGGGAAUGCUAUAGAGGUUGCGCGCUUGCAAGAGUUUGAUUCUGAGCUAUAUAUUUUUGGUCCUACCAUUACGAAGAAAAUAACACUGUCAAAAUAAUUACAACGAUACUGCUAAUAUGGGAGAGAGUAUAGAAUCUACAACUUAAAAAUUUGAGCACUCAGAACUGCAGAACAUAGCAUGCUUGUACUCCCAGUUAUACGUGUGACUACUCUGGCUUUUCAGGAUAAGCUGAUUGCAAACUUUUUUGUAAAAUUGCUUACAUAAUUGAACGAUAAAAGAGGUGUGCCUACAACACAUUCGGAACAAAAGAACUAACUUAGCCUGCACAGUAUUUCAGGAAUAAAGAGCGCACCUGUGAAGCUGGAUAACAACUACAUCACAUAUUGGAAAGCACACGCUUGAAAUUGGUUAACCACCAACAGAGUAGCGGAUAAGAGGACCAGGCUGUGUAAAGAAAAUGGCAAAUAGUCACAGACUUUCUUAAGGAAUUUGCCUCAGCUCCAAUUUGUUCUGAGAAUAACCUUCUUAUUCGGACAACGGGUCCGAUCAAAAGGCAAUGCCAUACAGGGCGGAUGUAGUGUGUUACCAACGGGUUCAAUUGAAUCCAUUACUUUCGAUUCAGAAUAAGAUUUUUAUGUAAAUAUUCUUUAAAAUUGCAAAAAUAUAUGCAAAAAUUUAUUUUCUAAAAAGUAUUUUCUGAAAAAAUAUUCUAUGUAUGAUAUACUAGAAAUCGGUGAACCUAUGUAUGAAAUUU